RNAcentral lists this long non-coding RNA (1466 nucleotides) under Homo sapiens (human). RNAcentral's name for it is "HSALNT0144674". The record is from RNAcentral. Lineage: Eukaryota; Metazoa; Chordata; Mammalia; Primates; Hominidae.
CACAAAGCCACUUGGCACCAGCAGCGUGUGUCAGCAAGAGAGCAGAAGCAGGAAGAGAGCCAGCCAGAAGACACGUACCCCUGAAGAUCGAGAAAGAGGCCAUCCAGGUACAACGUAGCAGUCAGACUAGGACACUUCCUGUUUACAGGAGACUAUCAAACCUUUGUCCCAUCCUCACUUAGGGCUGACGCCAUUUUAGGCCUCAGCCGGCCUGCACCCAGGCACUCAUUAAAACAGCAUAUUGCUCCACACCGCAUCGUGUUGUCUGUUGGCAUGCUUUUGGGGUUUGAACCAAUACAAGAACCUUACAUCUGGUACCAAAACCUGGGAGUGGCUCAGGUCUGCAUACCCUGUGGACCUAACCCUCCACCCCAGAGAGCAGGCCACAGCUGCCAGACAAAGGAAGCUCCUCAGCCUCCAGUCACCUCUCCGUGCAUGCACAUCGGUCACUGAUCUCGCCUACUGAGGCCCUGCAGGUCCCUGAGGCCGCAGCUCCACAAAGAAGCCUCCUAGCAAUCCACCUCCACCUGGUGCCUGUUUCAAGUGCAGCAAUGAAGGCCACUGGUCCAAACAAUGCCCAAACCCAGGUAAGCCCACCAGCCUGUGCCCCUUCUGUGGAGGACCCCACUGGAAGUCGGACUGUGAGCAGCUCCUGCAAGGACUGCCCCCAUCCUUCCCUGAGGUGACCAAAACCUCCUACUUGGAUCUCUUCCGCCUUGCCGCUGAAGACUGAUGGUGCCCUGGAAUGGAUGCCCCAGCAACUACCAUUGCUUCAUUCAAGCCAAAGGUAACCCUGAUAGUGACAGGCACAGGCGUGAUUCCAGACAAUCCAGAUGAUGCUCCUGCUACAACGACACGGUGGAUACCAACCCGUCUCUCAAGAAUACCCAAAAAAUGAAAGUUUUUCUUUUUCUAAGGCCCAGUCCCAAGACACAAGGCCACUUGGCGCCAGCAGGGUGCAUCAGCAAGAGAGCAGAAGCAGGAAGAGAGCUGGCCGGAAGACACGCACCCCUGAAGAUCGAGAAAGAGGCCAUCCAGCAACGUGUGUGAAUUCCAGUCACUCUGCACCUUCUCCAGCAAUAGGUACAUUCAGGUUUUUUGUUUUUAAGUCUUUCUUAUAGGCAUGAAAUUUUAUUUUACUGCACAUUUACCCUCGACUAAUGAUGUUGACCAUUUUUUCAUAUGCUUAUUUGCUAUUUUUACAUCUCUUUCAGUGAAAUGUCUGUUCAAGUCUUUUGUCCACUUUUUAAAUAGAUCUCUUAUUUACUUAUUAUUGAGUUUUGAGUCUUAGUUGUAUAUUGUGGAUGCACAUGUUUAAUCAGAUAUGUUUUACAAACAUUUUCUUUUUUUCCUUUUUUUGAGAGAGAGUCUUGCUCUUUUGCCCAGACUGCAGCAUAAUGGUGCCAUCUUGGUUCACUAAGGCCUCUGCCUCCUGAGUUCAAAUGAUUCUCCUGCCUCAGCCUCCU